Long non-coding RNA from Calliphora vicina (urban bluebottle blowfly), 1091 nucleotides. RefSeq lists it as uncharacterized. NCBI's taxonomy places the organism in Eukaryota, Metazoa, Arthropoda, Insecta, Diptera, Calliphoridae. The record is from RefSeq and is a predicted model, not a curated record. The transcript is spliced from 5 exons.
AAUAAGUUGUUCUGGACUUAUUAAAUAAACAUCUUAGGCUGAAAUAUUUAGUAAAGUCUUAUACUUGCAACAGUUAAUAACUGUAUCUCAACACUUUUAAAUUCAAGCAAAAGUAAAAAAACCAAAAAAAGCAAUCAACAUGCAUGAAGGCAAAAGUUUAUUGUCCACCUUCCUUAUCUUGGCCUUUUUAUUGGCCAUGUUAUACGUUUUGUACGCCAUGUUCUAAACAUGGACAACAUUCGGAAAUCAAUUUAUUUACGAUGACAACAAUUACAUUAAUUAGUUUAUAGGCGUUUUUAAAUUAGCAAAUAUUUGUGUGGCGAUAAUCAAGUGAAAAAAUCCCAUUUUCAAAAUGAAUGAAGCCACAAGUUUAUUCACCACCUUUCUCAUCCUUGCUCUUUUGUUGUCAUUCUUGUAUAUUUUCUACGAAAUGGCUUUCUAAAAGUUUCUAACGUUUUUUUUUAAAUUAAUUAAUUCAUUUUCAUAAUAACACAAAAUCUCUUGAAAUAAUGUUUUUAUUAUAACAACUACAACAAAAAAGUAACCGUUGCCUUUAUAUUGAACACACAAAAAAAAAUGAAAAUAUUCCAAAAAUAUUGCCGUAAAAUAUAAGAAGCAUAAGCAGCUAGUAUCGUAAUGGAUUUUAUUCUAACAACAAAAACACUAUUAGUUUCGUAAGGAGAAAAACAAAUUAAAGUUGACGUCAUGACAGUUGCAAUGAGAUGACUAAAGCCGAAUAAGCCAAAUAUUUAAAAGCUAAAUUUCUCCGCAAGUCUGCAGUCAACUUUAACUAUGUAGGACUUUUACUUUUUUUUUAUUAAAUUUACAUUUAAAUUAUGAAUAAUAGACUUUUUGUACAAGUCUUAUUAUUUGUUUUUUUAUUAGAAUUAGUCUAUAUAUAUUUAUGAAAUACAUCAAAACAAAUGCCUUUAGAAGUAAUUUUGUUUUGUUAAGAAAAAGAACUUGAAAAAACAACAUCAUAAAAAAAAGAAAUGUUUACAAAAAAUGGUAUCUGUAAAUUAACAUCUGAAAAUUUCUUUAAAUCGGUUUUAUAUAAAACAAAAUAAAAUUACCAACAAAAAUCUAUAAAA